This is a long non-coding RNA of Hibiscus syriacus, 2433 nucleotides long. RefSeq lists it as uncharacterized. The transcript has 2 exons. The record is from RefSeq and is a predicted model, not a curated record. Lineage: Eukaryota; Viridiplantae; Streptophyta; Magnoliopsida; Malvales; Malvaceae.
UCUAUAUAUUAUUGCUCACUCCCAUCUCCCUCACUUUUCAUCCUUUUUCUUCUUCUCUCUCUUCCGAAUCCCAUAUAUAAAAUCCACAGGUUUAUCAAUCAUUAUCUGGUUUUCUCUCUCUUUUUUCAUUUUUGGUUAUAACGAUGAUGGUGAAUGAUGAGUGGGUUGAGGCGGCGAUCACGGACGACAACGUGGUGGUUGAGUUGUUGUUAAGGCUCAAGCAAGCCCAGGCGGCACCUCCUCUUUUCAAAUCUGCCUUGACUGCGUUUAAAUGGGGGAUACGUCAGCGGAGGUCUAAACACAUGCUGCUGCGAUGCGACGCCAGGAGAGACGGAGAUUUAAACGUCAGUGCGAGAGGUAGUCCCACCACGCCGCUUUGUUGGAGCGGUGGUAGCAGCGACGCCUCUCCUUGCGCCGUCGACGGCUUUGAAGUGACCAGCACACAGGUCCACUGCUCAAAUCCUGUCGCACCUUCCAGAUCCAAGGUUUCUUCUCCCUCUCUCGCUCUCUCUCUUAAGUUGUUGAAUCUCUUUUGCUUUCAUAUUUCGGGUUGACAGAAACAAUCUUUCGUGGCUAUACCCAAAUACGUAUCGCCGCCGUUUUUUCGGGGUUGCCUUUUCGCGUUCUGGUUUUUGAUUUGGAAUGACAGUAAUUCAUCGGUUCCCAGCUGACUCACUGAGUUCACCAGAUCUGCCAUUAUUAACGUUUCUCUUCAUCAUCGAACUUUCCGAUUCGACAUCUCCGAUCAUCGGAUUUUAUUCCGACCGUUGGACUAAAAAGCCCCCGUGUUUUAAAACUUUUUUACCAUCUUCACGUGAAGACGGAUUUUUACCGAACCUCCCUUUUAAACCACGCCCUUUUUAGGGCCGGAAAGGAAACUACACAGAUCACGAGCUCGGUUAAUACUUGAAACUCAUCAACUCUGAAAUCCGUUUACAUCGGUAACCAUCUUUACCAGAUCAGACCUUUCCAGUAGAGGACCAAUUUGUCAGAAGUGAAAAUAAGAUUCCCCAGCUCCCACCGUCCAAGUAGCUUUCCGAGCAGCGGGGGCAUUUCGGUCUUAGUAAUAGGUGGAAGUGAAGGGGGAGAGUUUAUCAGGUGUGACGCGGGUGUGACCGGAUUUGGUGGAGUCUUCGUUUACCUUCUCAAUCUGUAACAGCACAUCAGUGUUGUCUCUCAACUUGUCUCAGGGUUAUUAGCUUAGCUCUAAGCGUGGGGUUGUGUAAGUCACGUGCGUGGUGUGCCAAGUCAUGGCUUGGAUUAGAUUCGUCGCGUGCUUGUCAGUCUUACGUGGCGUCUUAUUACCGGCUUUUGUCGUUUUCGUUUUUUUAAUUCUACGCCGCUUUGGGCACUCUGACUCUGCCAGCUGUACUAAAAGAAGAGCCUUGGGUUGCAUGUUUCUUCCUUGCAUCCCGAUGUUGAUAGUAUUUUGUUGUUAUUAUUAAAGGUCUCGGUUCGAAUAUUAUGUAUGUUCGAUGUCCGGUUGAAAAUCUUUGAACAGACGUUAUUUUGUGUUUAUCCCAAAUUUAUGAAAGAAGUAUUUGUGAAUUUGGGUUAAGUUGGUGUGUUGUUCGACUUAUUUGAGUUCAAUUUUGUUACACUGGCUCAUAGGUAGGGAUAGGGAUGAAUAUGCAUGUUCUUAUUUCUAUUAGAUAAAAUAAGGGUCUAAUUGAAAAAAUCUAUAAGUGAGGGGUAUUAUAGCAAUUAUCUCUAAAUGUGUAAAGGUCGAUUGUAUUAUUAUUCACGGAUUGAAUCGGAUCUGUUGUUUUUCACCUUUAACUCGAACUGAUGCGGGCAUUACGGUGCAAUUUCGGCAAUGAUUUUUCGUUCAAAUCAGAAAGGAUGGAUUGUAAUUAGGAUAUACCAUUACUUUCUCUCAAUGUUGUGACCUCAACAAACACGACAAGGAUGGACCCAAAUUCCGAGUUCUUUUUCAAUGCCUGCUUGCUUUAUUGAUUAAUGGUGGGUUUUGCAGAGCAGUGCUUCUAGUGAAACCAACAGAACAAGUUCCAAGAGGUCAAGAAGAAAGGAGCUCGAUUCGAACUCGAGCUUAAUCGAUAAUGAACCAGAGAAAGUACCUCGUCUGGGGCCGCCGCCUUCUUCAGAGUCAAACUUGCUAUCGGAUGAUCACCGUAAACCGCGGUUAGAUUCGCACGAUGCAGGCAAGGAUAUCUUCGUACUGCCUGAUCUAAAUAUGAUGCCUGGUGAAGAUGAUUCCGGUCCCGAAACGUUACACAGGACUAGCUGAACAGGCAAGAACCGAUCACUUUCGGAUUAGAAUCGGAGGAUUGAGAACUCAGGUGAUGGCUUGAAAUAUUCUAAUCUGAAAGAUUAUCCUCUCAUUGGCUUCUUGUUUUGGAACUUUAUGUAUAUAAAUUAGUUGCUGUUCUUUGUAGGUGGAGACUUGUUUAAAACUGAUUUCAUACUUUUGGU